CGCAUGCGCGCGGGAGAGUCACUCGGCGAAUCAAACAUUUGGUGACUGUGUCGUUCGCAAUGGCGCAUUACACAGUUAUGCAGAAGAUGCCGAGAGUCUGCGGCUCGAGCUGAACACUUUACAGCAGAAAUAUGAUCAGCUGAUGGAGGAGAACAAAGAGCUGAGGAGCCGGCUGCUGCAGGGCGGCGGAACAGAAUAACUACACACCACUUCAGUUUCACACAUUUCUUCACAUCAGUGGAAGUCUUUCAGUUCGUUUUGUAAUACAUGUAUA
Molecule: long non-coding RNA, 274 nt
Organism: Sinocyclocheilus anshuiensis
Lineage: Eukaryota; Metazoa; Chordata; Actinopteri; Cypriniformes; Cyprinidae
Exons: 3
Source: RefSeq, a predicted model, not a curated record